UGGGGAAUAUUGCACAAUGGGCGCAAGCCUGAUGCAGCCAUGCCGCGUGUAUGAAGAAGGCCUUCGGGUUGUAAAGUACUUUCAGCGGGGAGGAAGGUGUUGAGGCUAAUAACCUCAGCAAUUGACGUUACCCGCAGAAGAAGCACCGGCUAACUCCGUGCCAGCAGCCGCGGUAAUACGGAGGGUGCAAGCGUUAAUCGGAAUUACUGGGCGUAAAGCGCACGCAGGCGGUCUGUCAAGUCGGAUGUGAAAUCCCCGGGCUCAACCUGGGAACUGCAUUCGAAACUGGCAGGCUAGAGUCUUGUAGAGGGGGGUAGAAUUCCAGGUGUAGCGGUGAAAUGCGUAGAGAUCUGGAGGAAUACCGGUGGCGAAGGCGGCCCCCUGGACAAAGACUGACGCUCAGGUGCGAAGGCGUGGGGAGCAAACA
RNAcentral lists this ribosomal RNA (427 nucleotides) under uncultured bacterium. RNAcentral describes it as "partial 16S ribosomal RNA". It matches the Rfam family "Bacterial small subunit ribosomal RNA", at positions 355 to 774 of the family's 1533-position model. The record is from RNAcentral.